CCUUUUCAUAUUACAUAAAUGCAGACCCAAGGAUAUGCAUGCAUGGAAUUCCAGACCUUCAGUUUGAAUAAACAAUUUGGCUACCAUGAUGAUAUGGUUAGACGCAAAUAAGCAAACAUUCAUUAGGAACACAUCCUGAGCACCAAAACACUGAAACUAAUAUGCAUAUCCCUGAAACUGACAUGAAGUGUCAUGGUUCAUGAUCUUUGCAGAUCUUAUACUGAAGUCUGUCUGUGAGACUAGGAUGCAGCAUCACGGCUGUUUGGGAGCCAUGUUCAUCUACAUAGCCUCCACCAAUCCAAAGUUGCCACACAAAAAGGCAGAGCUGGAGGCAAUGCAAUGAUGCACAAAGGCACUUUGCCAAAGGUGGAGCACCACCAUUGGUGCCUCCCAUCCCACUUUCUGUCAUGGUCUCAUGGAAUGAAGUAGAUCGAGCUUAUCCAAUUCCUCAUUCGCAAUUGUUGCAACUGACAAUCCUCCUCCUUUGUGACAAGAAAAAGGCCACCAUCGUCCACCUUCUUUUGGCACUGAAAUAUAUAUGCAACUGAACUUAAAUUCUGUAUACACUUUUUAGCUGAAGCUCUCACUUGUGUUCUGUAGCAAAUUUAAGGUAAAGGCUAAAGGGAGUGAGGCAUAUGCUGCAAGAGUGGUUUGAGCCUUUUUCUUGUAAGGUCACAUUCAGAAAAUCUCAACCUGCAGCUGUGUCUACCUUCUUGGAAGGUUAAGAGUGUAACAGAAUAUGCUGGAAUAGUGGCCUUCGCUUUUUCUUUGUAAAGUUAGUCUCAGGAAGAUUCUGAGACUGUUCUAAUCUGAUGAUUUUUCUAGUAA
Molecule: long non-coding RNA, 828 nt
Organism: Phragmites australis (common reed)
Lineage: Eukaryota; Viridiplantae; Streptophyta; Magnoliopsida; Poales; Poaceae
Exons: 2
Source: RefSeq, a predicted model, not a curated record